UGGAUAGUGAGCAAGGCUUAGCUAGCGCAUCCCUUGUAAGCGACACACUGCUUUGUUGCUGGUUGUGGUGACAAGUGGGCAAGGGUUCUUGCACCAUGGACAAGUGCAAGUAAAGAAACUAAUCCAAAAGCGUAGGAUUAGAUUAGCUUCUUGGAAAAUGGGAACUUUAAUGGGAAGGAUUUUGAAUUGAUAGAUAUAGUGAGAAGAAGAAUUAAGAUAGCUUGUAUAAAUUAGACUAGAUAGAAGGGUAAAAAGGCUAAGGAAUUAGAUCAUUAUAAACUUUGGUAUACUGGGGAUCAAAAUAAUAAAAGUGGGGUGAGAAUAGUAGUAGAUGAAUAUUUUAAAAAUGAUGUUCUAUAUGUUAAAAGAAUUGGUGAUAGGAUAAUAUCCAUCAAACUUGUGUUAGGAAAAGAGGUAAUCAAUAUAAUUAGUGCUUAUGCACUACAAAUCGGAUUAGAGCAAAAUACUAGAAACAAUUUUGGGAACACAUGGAUAGAUUAGUUCAAGGAAUUAGUCAAGGAGAAAAGAUUAUUAUAGGGGGAGAUUUAAAUGGAUGUGUUGGAAGAGAUAGUAGACGUUAUGAAAUAAUUCAUAGAGAAUAUGGUUUAUGAGAUAGGAAUGAGGAGGGAACUUUAGUUUCAGAAUUUGUUGUGGCUUAUGAUUUAUCAAUAAUCGGCACAUGCUUUUAAAAGAGAGCAUAUUUAAUAACCUUCAAAAUUCGGUAAAAUAGGCUUCUUUCUAACUAGAAGGUUGAUAGGUUAUUAUGUAAAGAUUGUAAGGUUGUACCAAGGGAGAGCUUAACCACGCAACAUAGGUUAAUGGUCAUGGAUAUGUGUUUUAAAAUGCUCAAUUUUAAAAAAUGUUAGAUUAUUUGUCCUAGGAUAAGCUGGUAGAACUUAAAAGGAGAAAACUUGAAGACAUUUACUGAUAAAUUAGUAACACAUGAAAGGUGGGAUUUCAAUGGAGACUAAUAUGAUGUGGAACAAGAUGGCUACUUAUAUU
This is a long non-coding RNA of Telopea speciosissima, 1002 nucleotides long. RefSeq lists it as uncharacterized. The transcript has 2 exons. The record is from RefSeq and is a predicted model, not a curated record. Lineage: Eukaryota; Viridiplantae; Streptophyta; Magnoliopsida; Proteales; Proteaceae.